This 253-nucleotide ribosomal RNA is filed under the name uncultured bacterium. RNAcentral describes it as "partial 16S ribosomal RNA". It matches the Rfam family "Bacterial small subunit ribosomal RNA", at positions 524 to 776 of the family's 1533-position model. The record is from RNAcentral.
UACGUAGGGGGCGAGCGUUGUCCGGAUUUACUGGGCGUAAAGCGCGUGUAGGCGGCCAGGUACGUCUGCUGUGAAAACUCGAGGCUCAACCUCGAGACGUCGGCGGAAACUAUCUGGCUAGAGUCCGGAAGAGGAGAGUGGAAUUCCUGGUGUAGCGGUGAAAUGCGCAGAUAUCAGGAAGAACACCCGUGGCGAAGGCGGCUCUCUGGGACGGUACUGACGCUGAGACGCGAAAGCGUGGGGAGCGAACAGG